This 439-nucleotide ribosomal RNA is filed under the name Trichonephila antipodiana. RNAcentral's name for it is "partial 16S ribosomal RNA". It matches the Rfam family "Bacterial large subunit ribosomal RNA", at positions 1845 to 2605 of the family's 2925-position model. The record is from RNAcentral. Lineage: Eukaryota; Metazoa; Arthropoda; Arachnida; Araneae; Nephilidae.
AUUAUUAGUAAAACCUGCUCCAUGCUUAAGUUAAUAGCCGCAGUAUAUCUGUGCUAAGGUAGCAUAAUCACUAGCUUUUUAAUUGAAGGCUUGUAUGAAAGGUUCAACAUUUAAAUUUCUUUUUUAUUUAAAUUUUUCUAAAUUAUAUUAAACAUAAAAAUAUGUUUAUUUAAUUAAAAGACGACAAGACCCUAUUGAACUUUACUUAAGUUUAGCUGGGGCAGCUAUUUAAUUAAUAUUUUAUCUUAUUCAUUAUUCUUUCAAUGACCCAAUAUAAUUUGAUUUCAUGAAUUAAGUUACCAUAGGGAUAACAGCGUAAUUUAUUUUUAAAGUUCAUAUUAAAAAAAAAGAUUGCGACCUCGAUGUUGAAUUAAUGUUACAAAUUAUACGCAGUAGUAAAAAUUGUAGGUCUGUUCGACCUUUAAAACUUUACGUGAUC